AUCCAACUGAUGAGUCCCAAAUAGGACGAAAUGCUCAUCCUGAAU
RNAcentral lists this non-coding RNA (45 nucleotides) under Schistosoma mattheei. Lineage: Eukaryota; Metazoa; Platyhelminthes; Trematoda; Strigeidida; Schistosomatidae. The record is from RNAcentral.